GCGGAUGUGGUGGAAUUGGUAGACACGCCAUCUUGAGGGGGUGGUGAGCUAACGCUCGUGGGGGUUCAAGUCCCCCCAUCCGCACCA
Molecule: transfer RNA, 87 nt
Filed under: Opacimonas viscosa
Lineage: Bacteria; Pseudomonadati; Pseudomonadota; Gammaproteobacteria; Alteromonadales; Alteromonadaceae
Description: tRNA-Leu
Rfam family: tRNA
About the family: Transfer RNA (tRNA) molecules are approximately 80 nucleotides in length. Their secondary structure includes four short double-helical elements and three loops (D, anti-codon, and T loops). Further hydrogen bonds mediate the characteristic L-shaped molecular structure. tRNAs have two regions of fundamental functional importance: the anti-codon, which is responsible for specific mRNA codon recognition, and the 3' end, to which the tRNAs corresponding amino acid is attached (by aminoacyl-tRNA synthetases). tRNAs cope with the degeneracy of the genetic code in two manners: having more than one tRNA (with a specific anti-codon) for a particular amino acid; and 'wobble' base-pairing, i.e. permitting non-standard base-pairing at the 3rd anti-codon position.
Source: RNAcentral